This 253-nucleotide ribosomal RNA is filed under the name uncultured bacterium. RNAcentral's name for it is "partial 16S ribosomal RNA". It matches the Rfam family "Bacterial small subunit ribosomal RNA", at positions 524 to 776 of the family's 1533-position model. The record is from RNAcentral.
UACGUAGGGGGCAAGCGUUGUCCGGAUUUACUGGGCGUAAAGAGCGUGUAGGCGGCCAAACGGGUCCGUUGUGAAAACUGGAGGCUCAACCUCCAGACGUCGACGGAAACCGUGUGGCUAGAGUCCGGAAGAGGAGAGUGGAAUUCCUGGUGUAGCGGUGAAAUGCGCAGAUAUCAGGAAGAACACCAAUGGCGAAGGCAGCUCUCUGGGACGGUACUGACGCUGAGACGCGAAAGCGUGGGGAGCGAACAGG